GGAGGUGUCAUGGCCGCACGGCGGUGCAGGAGGCCCUGCGCGCUUCCCCCCCUUUUGGCGGCGGCUCGCGGUGCCCCUCAAGGCGACUCGGCCUCGAAGGCUCAGCCCGGCGUGGGGGGCGGCAGCGAAUCCCAGUGUCUUGGCGGUUCCCUUAUACGAGAGGUGUAGGAAACCCGGUGCCUGCCGUAUUAAUUAAUGCGUGUGGUCAUUAAUCUUCAGUCCAAAGGGCUCCAAUCUUUCACUUUACAGAAUUGCAACGGUUGGGAGAGACCUCGAGAUCGUCAAGUCCAACCCCCUUACUAAAGCGGUUACCCUACAACAGGUCACACAGCCUCAUAAGGACAGAAACAAGAAUAUCUUUCAAGAGGCUGUGUGUUACAUUACUGUAUGGGAACUGCUGAGUCAUGGCCUGAACCACUGAUUGAUCACCUGUGAAAAGGACUGGAUCAGCCCUGGGAGCACAGGGUUUCCAAGAAGGCAAUGUAAAGGAUAUCCAACGUCAACAAGUGCUUUUGUUGCCAAUGCCUACUGCAGAGGAGGGUGAGGAGGCUGCCAAGAAGAGUUUCAGAAUGGAUGAAAGCCCUACACCAAACAAAGGUCUAAAGGCUGUGGUCGAGAGCAGGCAUGGACUGACCAACUAUCCACCAUUUUUGCCUCCAAAUAUUUUCCAAGUUUUAACCCUUCAUGAGAGGCUGUUCUUGUCUUGCUCAGGAAGGAUGGAGGUGUCCUUUGCCUUACAGCUGUAUGUUCUGGCUGCCACUGACUUGACUCAACUUCUUUCCUAUGAUGAUUCGUCUGAGACAAGCCUUGCCACAAAUUUACGUAACCUAUAAAAUCUGGGUUUUCUUUUCCAAGUUAAGAAAACUUGCACCCAGGUCUUGAGAAUGACCUAGUGUUACCUUUUCCAUCCAUUUUAUUCACAGGACAGUUGCAGGGAAUUUGCCUUUAUUUCCCUAUGAAGGGAUAAGAAGAGUAUCUGAACAUCAAAGAUACCAAUCUCUGUGGAAAAGAUAAUACAGAUUGCUUCCAGGUUACUUUUAAUCUACAGAACCAGAGGGAAGUAUACAAGCUCUUCCUUUUAUCAUCUAGACCACAGCCAGCAUUGCAAUAUGUUGGUCCUUCCUCACCAUUGCUUCUUUAUAAUUAAGAAAUGAAGAAGGAGCAAUGAACAGGAUUUUUAGUGGCAACUUUUAUUUUCUACAUGCAGCAUCUCAGUAACAGGAGGAAUGUCAUCUGAAUAUCUCAUCUAAGAGCUUCUGCUCUAAAGCCAGGCUCACUGCUUGUUUCUCUUCAUGUUACAAGUUUCAACUGUCAUAAAGCACAAGAUUUUAAAAACUGUUAUGAAAACGUGAGAUGGUGCUAAACACAGUGCUGAGCAGGUCGUCUUUCUACACUGCCUACAAUGGUGCCCCAAGCAACUUAAAUGCCA
This 1429-nucleotide long non-coding RNA is filed under the name Gallus gallus (chicken). The record is from RNAcentral. Lineage: Eukaryota; Metazoa; Chordata; Aves; Galliformes; Phasianidae.